RNAcentral lists this ribosomal RNA (584 nucleotides) under uncultured fungus. Its description in RNAcentral is "eukaryotic LSU rRNA". It matches the Rfam family "Eukaryotic large subunit ribosomal RNA", at positions 40 to 647 of the family's 3401-position model. The record is from RNAcentral. Lineage: Eukaryota; Fungi.
AUAUCAAUAAGCGGAGGAAAAGAAACCAACAGGGAUUGCCCCAGUAACGGCGAGUGAAGCGGCAACAGCUCAAAUUUGAAAUCUGGCCCCCCGCGGGUCCGAGUUGUAAUUUGCAGAGGAUGCUUUUGGCGCGGCGCCUUCCGAGUUCCCUGGAACGGGACGCCAUAGAGGGUGAGAGCCCCGUCCGGUCGGAUGCCUAGCCUCUGUAAAGCUCCUUCGACGAGUCGAGUAGUUUGGGAAUGCUGCUCAAAAUGGGAGGUAUAUGUCUUCUAAAGCUAAAUACCGGCCAGAGACCGAUAGCGCACAAGUAGAGUGAUCGAAAGAUGAAAAGCACUUUGAAAAGAGGGUUAAACAGUACGUGAAAUUGUUGAAAGGGAAGCGCUCAUGACCAGACUUGGGCGUGGUGAAUCACCCGGCGUUCUCGCCGGGGCACUUUGCCUGCCCAGGCCAGCAUCAGCUCGCCCCGGGGGAUAAAGGCUUCGGGAAUGUGGCUCCCUCGGGAGUGUUAUAGACCGUUGCGCAAUACCCUGGGGUGGGCUGAGGUUCGCGCUCCGCAAGGAUGCUGGCGUAAUGGUCAUCAGCGA